CAAUAGUAGUAACAAGAAUACACAUGCUAUCCAAGUAGGUUACCCCAUUUGUUACAUAAUCUAUUGUUUUGGGGCCAUUCUCCAUGCUUCUGCUGUUUACACAAGUUUACGUGAGUAUCGUCAUCCAGGAGAUUGCUUAUCUUAACAUUCCUGAAUUCUAUCAAUCACCUCAUCUCAGUAAAUGUUAAAAUGCAAAAUAAUCAUUCGAGACAGAUCUUGAAAGACAUU
Telopea speciosissima is the source of this 228-nucleotide long non-coding RNA. RefSeq lists it as uncharacterized. The transcript is spliced from 3 exons. The record is from RefSeq and is a predicted model, not a curated record. NCBI's taxonomy places the organism in Eukaryota, Viridiplantae, Streptophyta, Magnoliopsida, Proteales, Proteaceae.